RNAcentral lists this ribosomal RNA (403 nucleotides) under uncultured bacterium. Its description in RNAcentral is "partial 16S ribosomal RNA". It matches the Rfam family "Bacterial small subunit ribosomal RNA", at positions 28 to 526 of the family's 1533-position model. The record is from RNAcentral.
GACGAACGCUGGCGGCGUGCCUAAUACAUGCAAGUCGAACGCAUUGGGGACGGGUGAGUAACACGUGGGUAACCUCCCAUCAGAGGGGAUAACACUUGGAAACAGGUGCUAAAUCGAUACUUAUGGAUGGACCCGCGGUGAGUUAGCAAGUUGGUGAGGUAACGGCCAACCAAGGCCACGAGGCAUAGCCGACCUGGGAGGGUGAUCGGCCCAACUGGGCAUGAGACAGGGCCCUGAGUCCUACGGGAGGCAGCAGUAGGGAAUCUUCGGCAAUGGACGAAAGUCUGACCGAGCAACGCCGCGUGAGUGAAGAAGGUUUUCGGAUCGUAAAACUCUGUUGUUAGAGAAGCGGUAUCUAACCAGAAAGCCACGGCUAACUACGUGCCAGCCGCCGCGGUAAUAC